Molecule: transfer RNA, 75 nt
Filed under: Leptobrachella arayai
Lineage: Eukaryota; Metazoa; Chordata; Amphibia; Anura; Megophryidae
Description: tRNA-Leu
Rfam family: tRNA
About the family: Transfer RNA (tRNA) molecules are approximately 80 nucleotides in length. Their secondary structure includes four short double-helical elements and three loops (D, anti-codon, and T loops).
Source: RNAcentral
GUUAACGUGGCAGAGACAGGUAAUUGCAAAAGCUCUAAAAUCUUUUCAACGAAGGUUCAACCCCUUCCGUUAACU